CCUACGGGGGGCUGCAGUGGGGAAUAUUGGACAAUGGGGGCAACCCUGAUCCAGCCAUGCCGCGUGUGUGAAGAAGGCCCUCGGGUUGUAAAGCACUUUCAGUGAGGAAGAACGCCUGGUGGUUAAUACCCAUCAGGAAAGACAUCACUCACAGAAGAAGCACCGGCUAACUCCGUGCCAGCAGCCGCGGUAAUACGGAGGGUUCGAGCGUUAAUCGGAAUUACUGGGCGUAAAGCGCGCGUAGGUGGCUUGAUAAGCCGGUUGUGAAAGCCCCGGGCUCAACCUGGGAACGGCAUCCGGAACUGUCAAGCUAGAGUGCAGGAGAGGAAGGUAGAAUUCCCGGUGUAGCGGUGAAAUGCGUAGAGAUCGGGAGGAAUACCAGUGGCGAAGGCGGCCUUCUGGACUGACACUGACACUGAGGUGCGAAAGCGUGGGUAGCAAACAGGAUUAGAUACCCGAGUAGUC
This 465-nucleotide ribosomal RNA is filed under the name Vreelandella stevensii. RNAcentral's name for it is "partial 16S ribosomal RNA". It matches the Rfam family "Bacterial small subunit ribosomal RNA", at positions 338 to 795 of the family's 1533-position model. Lineage: Bacteria; Pseudomonadati; Pseudomonadota; Gammaproteobacteria; Oceanospirillales; Halomonadaceae. The record is from RNAcentral.